Molecule: long non-coding RNA, 125 nt
Organism: Amblyraja radiata (thorny skate)
Lineage: Eukaryota; Metazoa; Chordata; Chondrichthyes; Rajiformes; Rajidae
Exons: 3
Source: RefSeq, a predicted model, not a curated record
GAGACCCCUUGCCGAACUCUUCCCGACUGGGCAACGAUUUUCCAGCUUCGCUAUCGCUGUAGCUUCAGCAGGGAAAGAGAUCUACUUCUAGCCGGUAAGGGGUUUUAAGAGGAACAUCCUCCUCA